Molecule: long non-coding RNA, 207 nt
Filed under: Oryza brachyantha (malo sina)
Lineage: Eukaryota; Viridiplantae; Streptophyta; Magnoliopsida; Poales; Poaceae
Description: long non-coding RNA (OBRA_LNC003303)
Source: RNAcentral
CCACUAAGAAGAGCAAGACUAAUAAUAUAACCAGUAAGUCGGCUAUAAGACUCUUUGUAACAUUUUUUAAGCUUAUCCAUGUAGUAGGCAGUUCUUCAUCAUUAAUAUAUUCAUAUAGUUUCUUGGUUCUUGUGUGGAACUAAUUGUAAGCUUAUAAUCCGCUUCUCCUUUCUCUCCUCCCAUCUCUUAUCAGCCUCAGCAUUUGUU